This 437-nucleotide ribosomal RNA is filed under the name uncultured bacterium. RNAcentral's name for it is "partial 16S ribosomal RNA". It matches the Rfam family "Bacterial small subunit ribosomal RNA", at positions 341 to 792 of the family's 1533-position model. The record is from RNAcentral.
ACGGAAGGCAGCAGUGGGGAAUAUUGGGCAAUGGGCGGAAGCCUGACCCAGCAACGCCGCGUGAGGGAAGAAGGUUUUCGGAUUGUAAACCUCUGUCCUUGGUGACGAAGGAAGUGACGGUAGCCAAGGAGGAAGCCCCGGCUAACUACGUGCCAGCAGCCGCGGUAAUACGUAGGGGGCGAGCGUUGUCCGGAAUGACUGGGCGUAAAGGGCGUGUAGGCGGCGCUGUAAGUCCGGAGUGAAAGUCCUGGUUUCAAGGUGGGAAUUGCUUUGGAGACUGCAGAGCUUGAGUGCGGAAGAGGUAAGUGGAAUUCCCGGUGUAGCGGUGAAAUGCGUAGAGAUCGGGAGGAACACCAGUGGCGAAGGCGACUUACUGGGCCGUAACUGACGCUGAGGCGCGAAAGCGUGGGGAGCGAACAGGAUUAGAUACCCUGGUA